GGGCCUAUAGCUCAACAGGAUAGAGCAUCGGAUUUCUAAUCCGGGGGUUGGGAGUUCGAGCCUCUCUAGGCCCGCCA
This 77-nucleotide transfer RNA is filed under the name Tepiditoga spiralis. RNAcentral's name for it is "Oceanotoga sp. sy52 tRNA-Arg". It matches the Rfam family "tRNA". From Rfam's summary of the family: Transfer RNA (tRNA) molecules are approximately 80 nucleotides in length. Their secondary structure includes four short double-helical elements and three loops (D, anti-codon, and T loops). Further hydrogen bonds mediate the characteristic L-shaped molecular structure. tRNAs have two regions of fundamental functional importance: the anti-codon, which is responsible for specific mRNA codon recognition, and the 3' end, to which the tRNAs corresponding amino acid is attached (by aminoacyl-tRNA synthetases). tRNAs cope with the degeneracy of the genetic code in two manners: having more than one tRNA (with a specific anti-codon) for a particular amino acid; and 'wobble' base-pairing, i.e. permitting non-standard base-pairing at the 3rd anti-codon position. Lineage: Bacteria; Thermotogati; Thermotogota; Thermotogae; Petrotogales; Petrotogaceae. The record is from RNAcentral.